CAAGCCAAACACAUUUACAAAAGAGCCCUUCCAAAAUAAAGACAGACUGAAAGGAAAGCAGGCGGCUAUUCUAAGAUUCUUAUCUGGAACAUCAGCGGGAACUCCAGACUUGGACCAAAGGCAGUUCACGACCUUUGUAGAAUUGCUUCAGACUCUUAAAAAAGGACAGUCCAGAUUUGCUUUUUCAUCCUGUAUGCCUUUUUCCUCUCUUGCUGCAGAGCUGGGUCAACAGGAAGCUCUAAAGCAGGGGAUGAGGCCAUGGACGUCCCUGAAAAUGUGCCUCCUCUCUCUGCAGAGAUCAGGAUCAUCCUGGUCUCAGCUCAGCACCUGGAGUGAAGAGUACUCCCAGCAGAGCCAGAGCGGUGAGCCCACCCCGUUGCCCACUUCUGCGUGUCCACCCAGACUUAAGCUGAUGGAAUAUUAUUCAGCACUGAAAAAGAAAUAAGCUAUCAAGCCAUGAACAGACCUGGAGGAAACUUAAAUGAAUACUGCUUAGUGAAAGAAGCCAAUCUGAAAAGGCUACAUACCGUGUGAUUCCAACUAUAUGACAUUCUGGAAAAGGCCACACUAUGGAGACGAAUGGACCACAGCAAGAGUGAACCCUAAUGUGAACUCUGGACUUUGGAUGAUAAUGAUGUGUCAAUGCAGGUUCACCCUUGGUAACAAAUGUACCAGCUGGUAUGGGUUUUGAGAGCACAGAGGAGAAAUCCCAAAUGCUCACCGAAAUCAGGAAGGCUGACUCAAAAAGGUGACUUUGCACUUAAUCUCAGAGGAUAAGGAGCACUUAGCCAGGUUCCCCGCUUGAGGAGUGAAACCGCAGUGAACUCUCUCUGUUCUGGUUUGUGGAGGGGAAGAACAAUUUGAGCUGGUAAAGUGCUGAAGUUGCAUGAUUUUUUUUUAACCUCACAUCCCCAGUGUUGAAUUAAUUCACUCUCCUCAUUUCACGACACAUUAUUCUAAUUUGUCCUUGGGAAGGCUCUUCCAUUCCUUUUUUCCCUUCCAUUUUUCUUUCUUCCUUACUUCUUACCUUUUAUCUCUCCUUCACACCACCAUCCGUUCUAAUGUGUUUAAUAUGUAUUUUUGUGUGCUUACAACGUGAAUAAUGUGCUCUUGCGCAUAUGCAUCCUAUUUUUUGCAUACCGUAUUGUGUUAUAGAUCUUAUGAUACGCAGACUCCACAUUUAGUCAUCCACUGUUUCACUGAUGGAUAUGCAGAUCGCCUUCAACAAUCCGAUCCACGAAUACACUGCCGUGAAUUCAUUUAUUUAACAAAUAUUUAUAUGAGCAACUGCUAUGUUCUAGGUGUGGUUCUAGGUGCUUAGGAUGUAUCCGAAAACAAAACAGUCCAUCAGAGAACUGACGUCUCAAGGCAACCAAAGAAAUGGAAUUCAAGAAAGUAACAACAUUCUCCUAGCCACAGAAAUGCGAAAUGAGAUACACAGACUGUUUGACUUUUGGCAAGACACAGGAAGAAGAGAUGGCUGCCAUAGAAGGAACAAGAAACAAGCUGACAUUUUAGCAAAUUCCUAAAGACUUAGCGUGGGCUGGUGUACCAGUGUGGUGUAACUCCCCUUGUAGACGCCCGGGGAGUUCUCACGCUCCAGCUCUUCUCCACCGGCCUUUAACAGGUGUUCACAAAGACUGAGGGCAGGGCAGGAGACCAGAGAGAGCGUCCCUCAGUAGCCCAGGUGUGUAGGAAAUGAUUUGAUGACACUGGAGAACAGGAAAAAAAAUGAUUGCGUGCUUCCCCCAACCUUUCUGUGAUACAAAGCAAAAGUGUUACGCCACUGGGGCAAAUGCAGCAAAAACAUGUCGCCUCCAGAGCUAAUCGGGGAGGGGUAGAUGGAAAACCCAUCUGCCUUGGGUGAGGGUAUAAAAGCUUCCUUCCUGGCCCCUAGGAACCAGGUAAAGACCCACUGCUUCUGGGGAAGGAUAGAAACAGAAGCCGUGCGCCUUAGAGGAGGGGCAAGAAAAUCUCUUGGCCCAGGAUCUUGCACCAGCACAAAGCAGAGGUGUGCUACUGAUGGGAAGGGACGGGAAAAUGGCUCCUGCCAGCAGUUCACACCAAUGGGAGACAGAGUUUACUGCCCUGCGGGGCAGGAGGAGGAAGGGGAAGAGGAGGAGAAAGGAGGAGCAGGAAUGCUGAGAGAUCCUGCCUGCAAGGCCAAGUGCACAGUCCUUGCCUAAGACCGAGGCUGGACCAGGAGAAUUGAGAAUCUGCUCCUGCUCCCCAGGAGCCUAGCACCAAGUAGCAAGCACCGGUGGUCUACCAUGGAAGAGGGGAAAUAACAGCAAAAAGACCCCCUCUGUGGUGCCAGCUUGCCGGGACUGCUGAAAUCUGACGGUGGAGCAGAAAUACGGAAAAACUACUCCAGGACCCAAGGCCUCCGACUAAGCUACAGGCGAAGAGAGCGCACCACCAGAGCAAUUUGAAGCCUGUGGUGCGCUGCAGCUCAUGACAGCAACAAUAAAACCCAAACUUAGCUUGGCUACCGAGGAGAUCGAAUCAGUUCCCCCACACGAAUGGCCUGACAGAAGAGGCACACCCAUUUCCAGAAGUCAACAUCGUUUACCUCAUCUCUACUGUUCUUCAAACACGAUGACUGGCGGUCAACGAAAAACGAGUGUUGGUUCCACUCAGUGCCACCUGGGAGGGACAUGGUGCAUCCUUGCAACUGAAGGCUUCUUUACGGCAUCCACAGGAGACCUGGACGCCUAUUAUACCAGAAGACCCCUUUCCCUUUGCGGAUGAGGAGGAUUUACGCGUUGAUUGGCAAGAUGAAAGAAAGCGUCCGGGAGAAUACAGCUCCUUCUCUGAGCCACGCAUCGUGUUUCCAGUAUGUGAUGUAAAGAACUUAGUAAGAUUACUCUGUGAUUAUUUAACUAAAAACUAACUAAAUUAAUUCAUUAAAUUACACACAACAGCCCCUCCCACCUCAAGGGCCUAUUGGGUGAACUCUUAAUCCAAAUUCUGGGCAUCUUUACAAAGCUAAGGACCAGAUUCUGGAACAACAGAGUGCUGAUAUUUGUGGGGAGUCUUGGAGAGCAGUCCGCCAGACAUCUUGGGGUCUGUCUUACUCCUGGUCUUAUUUAAACUGCUACAUGGAUCUCAUUUUAUCUUCCCAACAACCCUGUGAAGUCGAUAUCACUGUCCCCGUUUUCCAGAUGAAAACAUCCAGGCGCCCACCUGAGAUACUUCUGUUUGGCCUGAAAUGGGAUUUCAGGGCAAAAGCAACAUUUUGUACCAUAUUCUGGACCUAUAUGAUUGCUUUCUUUACGGAAAUGGGUUUUUCCUUCAUAAUCUUCCAUGUUACAGGCCUAAGAAUGGAGUUGUAUGUCUGUGUAUAUAUGUAGAGAAAAGUAUCUGAAAUAAUACUCACAAAAAAUGUUAUUAGUUGUGAUCUUUGAGUGGAAGAGUUUGAUGAUUUUUACUUUCUUUUUUUGCCACUUUAUGUAUUUUUUAAAAUAAUGACCUAGAAUUACUUUUUAGUCAGAAAAAAAUGAGACUUUGUUUUCAUUUUUC
This is a long non-coding RNA of Equus caballus (horse), 3522 nucleotides long. The record is from Ensembl. Lineage: Eukaryota; Metazoa; Chordata; Mammalia; Perissodactyla; Equidae.